CUACGGGCGGCACCAGUGAGGAAUAUUGCACAAUGGGGGAAACCCUGAUGCAGCAACGCCGCGUGGAGGAUGACGCAUUUCGGUGUGUAAACUCCUUUUAUCAGAGAAGAAAAUGGCGGUAUCUGAUGAAUAAGCUCCGGCUAACUCCGUGCCAGCAGCCGCGGUAAUACGGAGGGAGCAAGCGUUAUUCGGAAUCACUGGGCAUAAAGGACGCGUAGGCGGGUUUUUAAGUCAGGUGUGAAAUCCUAUGGCUCAACCAUAGAACUGCACUUGAAACUGGGGACCUAGAGUAUGGAAGGGGCAGGUGGAAUUAGUGGUGUAGGGGUAAAAUCCGUAGAUAUCACUAGGAAUACCGAAAGCGAGGGCGACCUGCUGGGACAUUACUGACGCUGAGGCGUGAAAGCGUGGGGAGCAAACAGGAUUAGAUACCCUUGUAGUC
RNAcentral lists this ribosomal RNA (439 nucleotides) under uncultured bacterium. RNAcentral describes it as "partial 16S ribosomal RNA". It matches the Rfam family "Bacterial small subunit ribosomal RNA", at positions 339 to 795 of the family's 1533-position model. The record is from RNAcentral.